AUUGAACGUUAGCGGCGCGCCUAACACAUGCAAGUCGCACGAGAAAGGGAGCAAUCCCCGGUACAGUGGCGCACGGGUGAGUAACACGUAGAUGACCUUCCCUGGAGUGGUGGAUAACCUGCCGAAAGGCGGGCUAAUACAGCAUGGGACCACAUGGUUUUGACCGAGUGGUGAAAGCGGGCCUCUGUUCACAAGCUCGCGCUCUGGGAUGGGUCUGCGUCCCAUCAGCUAGUUGGUGAGGUAAUGGCUCACCAAGGCAUCGACGGGUAGCUGGUCUGAGAGGAUGACCAGCCACACUGGAACUGAGACACGGUCCAGACUCCUACGGGAGGCAGCAGUGGGGAAUCUUGCGCAAUGGGCGAAAGCCUGACGCAGCGACGCCGCGUGGGUGAUGAAGGCCUCGGUUGUAAGACCUCGUGGGAGG
RNAcentral lists this ribosomal RNA (424 nucleotides) under uncultured bacterium. Its description in RNAcentral is "bacterial SSU rRNA". It matches the Rfam family "Bacterial small subunit ribosomal RNA", at positions 30 to 442 of the family's 1533-position model. The record is from RNAcentral.